Panthera uncia (snow leopard) is the source of this 336-nucleotide long non-coding RNA. RefSeq lists it as uncharacterized. The record is from RefSeq and is a predicted model, not a curated record. The transcript has 3 exons. Lineage: Eukaryota; Metazoa; Chordata; Mammalia; Carnivora; Felidae.
ACCCUACCCCGGAAGUAAUUCUGGGCGUUGUAAUUAUCCGGUUUUUGCGACGCUAUACGCAGAUAUUGCCCGGGGCUAGACCACAAUCCGUACUAUUAAAGGAUUCUUACCUACGAACUUCUGGGGGGUGGAACGCUUGCGUUUGGUGAGGCUGUUGGCCAGCCGAUCAAUGAAGGUUGGCCGCUCAGAGGAUGAGUGCAACAUGGAGUCUGGCACCAUCUCCAGAUCGCAUCCCUUUGUGAAGAGGGGGUAGAUGCUAGAAUCAUCCUGGUCCUGCACUCCCUCUGACCCAGCCCUCAACUCCCCCACAGGCCUGCCUACAGCCCUACCUGCUUG